Molecule: ribosomal RNA, 301 nt
Filed under: uncultured bacterium
Lineage: Bacteria
Description: partial 16S ribosomal RNA
Rfam family: Bacterial small subunit ribosomal RNA
Source: RNAcentral
CAGUCGCCACGGGAAAACGAAGGGGGCUAGCGUUGUUCGGAUUUACUGGGCGUAAAGGGCGCGUAGGCGGACUGAUAAGUCAGGGGUGAAAUCCCAAGGCUCAACCUUGGAACUGCCUUUGAUACUGUUUGUCUUGAGUUCGAGAGAGGUAAGUGGAACUGCGAGUGUAGAGGUGAAAUUCGUAGAUAUUCGCAAGAACACCAGUGGCGAAGGCGGCUUACUGGCUCGAUACUGACGCUGAGGCGCGAAAGCGUGGGGAGCAAACAGGAUUAGAUACCCCCGUAGUCCCUGUCUCUUAUAA